CGUCAGCGGGGCUGCACGGACGCCAGGUUACCUGGCUGCACUCCCAGCAACCAGUGACUCGGCUGGAUUUGAAGUACCCAUAAAAAAGCAGGUUCCAACAUGGGUCAGUGAAAUACACACCCAUGCUACGAGGUUAGCACGCGCGGGGGCUUGCAAACGUUGCCAGGGAUCCCCGGGGCUGGCAAGAGCUCUUGCAUCUUCACACAAACACCCCCCGCCAGGGCCUUCCUGCCCACGGGAUGCUCCACGUCGUGCAAGCGGGAGAGCACCAGCCCCAGGCUGGACGGCUCUCUGCUCACCGCGGUGGUUGAACGUGCUGUGCAGCUCAAGAGCGUGGAGAAACCCAUCUCGGACACUCUCCUGGGACAGGGCGCGCGCCUCAGAUCAUAGCACUAGAGCUCGAAAUUGGAGCGCGCUUUCUCGCCAGAAAUCUUUUGCAAACCCCACGGCUUCCCUUAGCAGGGGAAGGGAAACUAGUGCUGCACAGAGGGCGUAACAGAGGAUUUAAAAGGCCAACUCAUGAUGGGAGCACACGGGCUGUGCCACCCCCUCCUCUCCCUCUGCGGACACAGGCGGCUUGUGCCCUCCUCUAGCGGAGGCCUGCGUGCAGCGGGAGAGGGCUACCCGGCACAGAGCACCGCGUUGCCGAAACACGCACCAUCCUGCUAUGAGCAGCACACAGGAAUGCUUUGAAGUGGCUCAAACCAGAGGAGAAAGCACGAGCAAGAGGGAUGGAGAGAGAGAGAGAGAGAGAGAAGUUAUCAUCUGCGUUCCCCAAAGGCGGUGGGAAGCCGAGGAUGCUCCUGCAGCACGCAGAGAUCAAGACCCCCGGGAAAAACCAUGCCGCCUGUCCCACCUCCCUGCUUUCGGAAGGAAACGGUUACCGUCGCGGCCGUCCUGCAAACGCUACGAGAGCUGCUCACGGAAGCCUCGGCACCCGCCUAGCCAACCCACCCAGGAACCGCUUUUGGAACCGCGCAGCCAUGCACCGAUAGCUGGGAUUUGCAGGGAAGUGGGGGAAUUAAAUGGAGUUAUUCACUGCUCCCCUUCCCACCACCCCAACGCCCACGCACUUGGCCGGCGAGGUGAAGCACGAGCUGCGCCGCCUGCCCGAGCUCCAGCACUACACAACCUACAGCCGCGCUCUGCGGGACGCGCAGGCAGCUGCGAGGCCCCGUCCUGCAGCUUCUGCCCGGCAAAAGAGGCAUUUUUGGAGGGCAAAAGAAGGGGGAGACACUUUGGCAGACAGAGAAAGGGCAGCCACAACACACAGCCACACAAACUGAGGAGCCAACCUUCAGAAGAGAAAUGCAUCUCCAUGCCAAGAGCUCGGCUAUUUUCCUCCCUCUUCCCGGCUCGGAGCGCUGCGCUAACAGGCUCAGCAUUCAUCCCCCUCGUGCCGCGCGGCAAAUGGGAGCGGAGAGGGGGAGAGCGAGACUCAAAUGAAAUCCAGACCUAGCAAGCAGCAGCUUUUUUUUUUCCUUUCCCCACUCCCCCCGGGCUUCUGCUGGAAACACGUUCUGUCUAGAGGGCUCAGGAGGAUGAGAGAGGGGAAAAAAAAGUAAAAAGGAAAUGCUGCAAAAAAAUAUUAAAUAAAUAAAAGAAUUCACUGAAAUCAAA
Dromaius novaehollandiae (emu) is the source of this 1620-nucleotide long non-coding RNA. RefSeq lists it as uncharacterized. The record is from RefSeq and is a predicted model, not a curated record. The transcript has 2 exons. NCBI's taxonomy places the organism in Eukaryota, Metazoa, Chordata, Aves, Casuariiformes, Dromaiidae.